AUAGUUUGAUCCUGGCUCAGAACGAACGCUGGCGGCAGGCCUAACACAUGCAAGUCGAGGGGGAAGCUAUCUUCGGAUAGUGGAGACCGGCGCACGGGUGAGUAACGCGUGGGAACCUACCCUGGGGUGGGGGAUAACUGCUGGAAACGGCAGCUAAUACCGCAUACGCCUUGAGAGGGAAAGAUUUAUUGCCCUGGGACGGGCCCGCGUUGGAUUAGCUUGUUGGUGAGGUAAAGGCUCACCAAGGCUACGAUCUAUAGCUGGUCUGAGAGGAUGAUCAGCCACACUGGGACUGAGACACGGCCCAGACUCCUACGGGAGGCAGCAGUGGGGAAUAUUGGACAAUGGGGGCAACCCUGAUCCAGCCAUGCCGCGUGCGUGAAGAAGGCCUUAGGGUUGUAAAGCGCUUUCACCGGUGAAGAUGAUGACGGUAGCCGGAGAAGAAGCCCCGGCUAACUCCGUGCCAGCAGCCGCGGUAAUACGGAGGGGGCAAGCGUUGUUCGGAAUGACUGGGCGUAAAGGGCGCGUAGGCGGAUGUGUAAGUUGGGGGUGAAAGGCCUGGGCUCAACCUGGGAAUUGCCUCCAAAACUACACGUCUUGAGAUCGGAAGAGGAUGGCGGAAUUCCCAGUGUAGAGGUGAAAUUCGUAGAUAUUGGGAAGAACACCAGUGGCGAAGGCGGCCAUCUGGUCCGACACUGA
RNAcentral lists this ribosomal RNA (699 nucleotides) under uncultured bacterium. Its description in RNAcentral is "bacterial SSU rRNA". It matches the Rfam family "Bacterial small subunit ribosomal RNA", at positions 8 to 743 of the family's 1533-position model. The record is from RNAcentral.